GACGAACGCUGGCGGCGUGCUUAACACAUGCAAGUCGAACGGAAAGGCCCGGCUUUUGUGGGGUGCUCGAGUGGCGAACGGGUGAGUAACACGUGAGUAACCUGCCCUUGACUUUGGGAUAACUGCAGGAAACUGGGGCUAAUACCGGAUAUGAGCUCCUGCUGCAUGGUGUGGGUUGGAAAGUUUCGGCGGUUGGGGAUGGACUCGCGGCUUAUCAGCUUGUUGGUGGGGUAGUGGCUUACCAAGGCUUUGACGGGUAGCCGGCCUGAGAGGGUGACCGGCCACAUUGGGACUGAGCUACGGCCCAGACUCCUACGGGAGGCAGCAGUGGGGAAUAUUGCACAAUGGGCGGAAGCCUGAUGCAGCAACGCCGCGUGCGGGAUGACGGCCUUCGGGUUGUAAACCGCUUUCGCCUGUGACGAAGCGUGAGUGACGGUAAUGGGUAAAGAAGCACCGGCUAACUACGUG
RNAcentral lists this ribosomal RNA (468 nucleotides) under uncultured bacterium. RNAcentral describes it as "partial 16S ribosomal RNA". It matches the Rfam family "Bacterial small subunit ribosomal RNA", at positions 28 to 507 of the family's 1533-position model. The record is from RNAcentral.